Thunnus maccoyii (southern bluefin tuna) is the source of this 860-nucleotide long non-coding RNA. RefSeq lists it as uncharacterized. The record is from RefSeq and is a predicted model, not a curated record. NCBI's taxonomy places the organism in Eukaryota, Metazoa, Chordata, Actinopteri, Scombriformes, Scombridae. The transcript is spliced from 3 exons.
CUGGAAAAAAAACAAUGAUCUGGUUUUGAGAAAUUACUUGAAUUCUGGUGCAUAUAUCCCACUAUUCUUACUUUAAAAAUGUGCCAGCUGCAGCAUCAUUGCUGUUAAUGUUACUUUUUUCCCUGCAUUUUGUGUUUCUUGUCAUAAAUGUUUUCAUUAUCAGUGUUUAACUAUGAAUCUCUCUGUUCACAGAAGGAGGGUGAAUGAUUUGUGGAGGACAAUAUGUUUACUGUUGCCUUUGGAUGAAUGUAACCGGCUGUGAUACCUGUACAUUAUGACUGAAUAUAUGUCAACCUGCUGAAGACAAUCAUGAAGCAAAUCAUAUUUUACUCAUUGGGGAGAAAUACAAUAUUAGCUUCACAGAGACACGUUCAUUAUGAAUAUUAUUUUCGGCGCUUUAUUGCCUUUUAUACUCCAGUCUUUAUUACCUUUCUAGUCUCAGUUGUCCAAUAUGUGUCUAUUAUCUGCUACUGCAGUGACAAAAUUUUCCUUACGGGAUCAAUAAAGUUAAUAUCUCAUCUUAUCUUAUUUUAUCUCACACACGCGGGACCCCCAGCAGGCACUACAGACCUUCAGCUAACAAGCAGGAUACGAAGGUGCGGAUUGGUUGAGAUGGUUGGAUGCAGCGACUCGUGAUCUGGUUUAUUCAAACAAAAAGAAAAUGACAAGAGGAGAGUUUCAGUGAAGGUCUGCUUUAAUGAGCCUGUUGAGCCUAGUUAUCAUCAGGCCCGGGCAAGUCUGACUCUUCUGUAAACUCCAGGGAUGAACGGUGGUGAAAUCCCUCAGCGAGCAGGCUGGGGCGCAUCCUAACCCCUCCCUCCCUGAAGGCAAAUUAGAGACGAUCAUUCAGCCAGUUUUUA